Molecule: long non-coding RNA, 253 nt
Filed under: Nicotiana benthamiana
Lineage: Eukaryota; Viridiplantae; Streptophyta; Magnoliopsida; Solanales; Solanaceae
Description: long non-coding RNA (NBEN_LNC001833)
Source: RNAcentral
AUAUAAGAAAUAGUAACAAUCUUCAAUAAUCCAAAAAGGCGAAAUAUGACAUUAAAUAGUAAUAAAUAGCAGUAAAUGCAUUUAAGUAAAUAAAGCAUGUGAGUCACUCGAAAAGGAAUUAGAUCAGUAGAUAUUUUUUCUGACAAUGAUGAAUGAUUGAUGAGCUUUUGAACACUUAGGCUGUUCUUGGACCCGACGGAAAAUGCUAAACAAGAAUCUUAGCAGAAAGAUUAUUUUUGUAUGUUUGCAGUAG